CUUAAGAUGGCCGAAGGUUAGGUGAAGGAUUGUAGCUCUUUUUAUGGAUUUUUCCUCUUUUGA
RNAcentral lists this transfer RNA (63 nucleotides) under Nemertopsis tetraclitophila. RNAcentral's name for it is "tRNA-Tyr". Lineage: Eukaryota; Metazoa; Nemertea; Enopla; Monostilifera; Emplectonematidae. The record is from RNAcentral.